This 112-nucleotide ribosomal RNA is filed under the name Caerostris extrusa. Lineage: Eukaryota; Metazoa; Arthropoda; Arachnida; Araneae; Araneidae. The record is from RNAcentral.
AACGGCCAUACCAUGCUGAAUAUAUCGGUUUUCGGUUAGAUCACAGAAGUCAAGCAUCAUAGAGCGCGGUCAGUACUUGGGUGGGUGACCACCUGGGAACACCGCGUGCCGU